Molecule: unclassified non-coding RNA, 1247 nt
Filed under: Bombus terrestris (buff-tailed bumblebee)
Lineage: Eukaryota; Metazoa; Arthropoda; Insecta; Hymenoptera; Apidae
Description: misc RNA ENSBTSG00005035884.1
Source: RNAcentral
CGCGUCAAUAGUCUUUUUACAUUGUUACGAUUAUCGUAAAAAUAGGUAACAAAAGAGAUAAUUUACUUUUCAAAUCAAUGGCUGAUUUAUUAUCUUUAUAAAAUACAAAAAAAAAAAAGAACAAGAAAAAGAAAACAACAAAAGAAGCGACUCAAUCAGAGGAACGAUAAAGUCGAUAUGUAAAUGAUAAAUCCGUAAAGUCUUACACCGUGAAUUGAAUUUUACUGCGAUUAUGCAUAUUAAACUAUGAUAAAUUAUGAGAUCAAAGGCGGAAGUUAAUGAUUUUACAAAUUCAGAACAGAGUCUUAAAGAUAUUAUUUUCUGCGUAAUUCAUACUGAUAAUAUAUUAGAAAUAUCGUCAUUAUCUCUGAGUCUAAAAUUGCAAGUAUGCAAUCUCAUUUCUUGAAAAUUAUCGGUAACAAGUCGUACAAUCUUAAAUUCAUCGAUAUAUUGGACUGAAAAGAACAAUUAGUUCUAUUAGCCGCAUUUGUAACUAAAAUAUUCGUUUGUUACAAAACGUCUUUUAUCAAAAAAGAAGAUCUAUUAAAAGGAGGCAAAAAAUAUGGCGCGCUAAAGAUAGAAAGACAUUAAACCUCCAGCCACAAGCGAUUUCUUCUACUAAAUUCGAUCUAUUCGUUCGUAUAACUGUCUUCGGCCAUAUAGGAAACAUUAUAUCCAAUAAAUAGCAGUCGUCACAGAAAGUAUCAAUCAAUUUCAGAUAAUUGGUAUUUUAUCGGAUCUUCGUUUGUUAUCUCGAAUCAUUUUUAAACGCACUUAUUUACCUGCUAUAAUUCCGUCAAUUCUAUUUAAUAUCGUUACAAAACUGAUCACGUAUCUAAAUUGCUUCCUCUUCUAGCACAUUUUAAACGAUCCAUACAGAUAAUCAAGAAGAAAGAAAUUUUCGAAUCGGAAGAAAUCACAAACGAACAGCACCACGAAGAAGAUAUCUAAAGGUUUGAUUUUAUAUAAAAUCGCGUGGAAAUUUUCCUACAAGUAUAUUUAGUUGCCACCAUAAAACCAGUAACCUAGAUGAUGUAAGACUUUUACGCAAUAUUGCAUAUAGCCUAGUUAGAACACUUGAUAACAUAUUUAUGUACACAACAAAAUAGGCUAAAACGACGUGUUCCGAUGUCUUAAUGAUUAAUCAGUGAAAGGCACUCGUUUCGAUGGGAAACGUUGGUUCCCAAUGCUCGAAUAACGUAAUAAGAAGGCAGCUGCACUUUUCAGUAACCUGAUUAAACCAACAA